CCUCAGGCCAAACAUGCCAGAAACAUGGCAGUAAAAUUCUGUUGGUCAAUAGUGGUGAAGGUCUGGUUAAGAUCACAGCCUGGGGACAUGAGAAGAUGGAUAGAGGGACCCUGCAGGAGCAAGACCGGCCACCUUAUCAGAGGACUUAGGGUCUGGGACAUGUGAUGAAGACUUUUCAGAUAUUAUUGGCACAGUACCAACUGCUGGAAGAUGAGAGAG
Molecule: long non-coding RNA, 219 nt
Organism: Mustela erminea (ermine)
Lineage: Eukaryota; Metazoa; Chordata; Mammalia; Carnivora; Mustelidae
Exons: 3
Source: RefSeq, a predicted model, not a curated record